Molecule: ribosomal RNA, 253 nt
Filed under: uncultured bacterium
Lineage: Bacteria
Description: partial 16S ribosomal RNA
Rfam family: Bacterial small subunit ribosomal RNA
Source: RNAcentral
GACGAAGGUGGCGACCGUUGUUCGGAAUCACUGGGCAUAAAGAGCACGUAGGCGGAUGCGUAAGUCGGGUGUGAAAUCCCUCGGCCUAACCGAGGAAUCGCGCCCGAUACUGUGUGUCUUGAGGGCAGGAGGGGAGCGUGGAAUUCCUGGUGGAGCGGUGAAAUGCGUUGAUAUCAGGAGGAACACCGGCGGCGAAGGCGACGCUCUGGCCUGCUUCUGACGCUGAGGUGCGAAAGCCAGGGGAGCAAACGGG